ACUUGAAUUGAUUGCAUUUAGGCACUAAAAUUCCAUCUAAAUGAACCUCAUCUUCAUUCCUUCUACAGUAGCUAAACUCGCACUGUAUAUAUUGCGUCAUACUUUUACUUAGGUUAAAACCCUUGCUCUUAAGGGUCCUCAACUAUUCUAACUUUUGGUUAACUUUUUCAAUAGUUUCAUCCUCUAAGACAAUACCAUUUGCAAAUAACAUGUGCCAUGAGACAUCAUCUUGAAUAUGAUUG
RNAcentral lists this unclassified non-coding RNA (242 nucleotides) under Hevea brasiliensis (rubber tree). The record is from RNAcentral. Lineage: Eukaryota; Viridiplantae; Streptophyta; Magnoliopsida; Malpighiales; Euphorbiaceae.